Molecule: ribosomal RNA, 292 nt
Filed under: uncultured bacterium
Lineage: Bacteria
Description: partial 16S ribosomal RNA
Rfam family: Bacterial small subunit ribosomal RNA
Source: RNAcentral
GUGUCAGCAGCCGCGGUAACACGUAGGAGCCAAGCGUUAUCCGAAUUCACUGGGCGUAAAGCGCGUGUAGGCGGCUCGGUAAGUUGGAUGUGAAAUCUCCUGGCUCAACUGGGAGAGGACGUUCAAUACUGUCGGGCUAGAGGACGGCAGAGGGAGGUGGAAUUCCCGGUGUAGUGGUGAAAUGCGUAGAUAUCGGGAGGAACACCAGUGGCGAAGGCGGCCUUCUGGGCCGAACCUGACGCUCAGACGCGAAAGCUAGGGGAGCAAACGGGAUUAGAUACCCCAGUAGUCC